Molecule: ribosomal RNA, 417 nt
Filed under: uncultured bacterium
Lineage: Bacteria
Description: bacterial SSU rRNA
Rfam family: Bacterial small subunit ribosomal RNA
Source: RNAcentral
UGGGGAAUAUUGCACAAUGGGGGAAACCCUGAUGCAGCAACGCCGCGUGAAGGAAGACGGUUUUCGGAUUGUAAACUUCUGUUCUUAGUGAAGAAUAAUGACGGUAGCUAAGGAGCAAGCCACGGCUAACUACGUGCCAGCAGCCGCGGUAAUACGUAGGUGGCAAGCGUUGUCCGGAAUUACUGGGUGUAAAGGGAGCGCAGGCGGGAGACCAAGUCAGCUGUGAAAAGCUACGGGCUUAACCUGUAGACUGCAGUUGAAACUGGUUUUCUUGAGUGAAGUAGAGGUUGGCGGAAUUCCGAGUGUAGCGGUGAAAUGCGUAGAUAUUCGGAGGAACACCGGUGGCGAAGGCGGCCAACUGGGCUUUAACUGACGCUGAGGCUCGAAAGUGUGGGGAGCAAACAGGAUUAGAUACCC